UACGGAGGGUGCAAACGUUGCUCGGAAUCAUUGGGCGUAAAGCGCACGUAGGCGGCCUGAUAAGUCGGGUGUGAAAGCCCUGGGCUCAACCCAGGAAGUGCACUCGAAACUGUCAGGCUUGAAUAUGGAAGAGGGUCGCGGAAUUCCCGGUGUAGAGGUGAAAUUCGUAGAUAUCGGGAGGAACACCAGUGGCGAAGGCGGCGACCUGGGCCAAUAUUGACGCUGAGGUGCGAAGGCGUGGGGAGCAAACAGG
RNAcentral lists this ribosomal RNA (253 nucleotides) under uncultured bacterium. RNAcentral's name for it is "partial 16S ribosomal RNA". It matches the Rfam family "Bacterial small subunit ribosomal RNA", at positions 524 to 776 of the family's 1533-position model. The record is from RNAcentral.